AGUGAACGCUGGCGGUAGGCCUAACACAUGCAAGUCGAACGGCAGCACAGUAAGAGCUUGCUCUUACGGGUGGCGAGUGGCGGACGGGUGAGGAAUACAUCGGAAUCUACUUUUUCGUGGGGGAUAACGUAGGGAAACUUACGCUAAUACCGCAUACGACCUACGGGUGAAAGCAGGGGAUCUUCGGACCUUGCGCGAUUGAAUGAGCCGAUGUCGGAUUAGCUAGUUGGGGGGGUAAAGGCCCACCAAGGCGACGAUCCGUAGCUGGUCUGAGAGGAUGAUCAGCCACACUGGAACUGAGACACGGUCCAGACUCCUACGGGAGGCAGCAGUGGGGAAUAUUGGGCAAUGGGCGCAAGCCUGAUCCAGCCAUACCGCGUGAGUGAAGAAGGCCUUCGGGUUGUAAAGCCCUUUUGUUGGGAAAGAAAAGCAGCAGGUUAAUACCCCGCUGUUCUGACGGUACCCAAAGAAUAAGCACCGGCUAACUUCGUG
Molecule: ribosomal RNA, 492 nt
Filed under: uncultured bacterium
Lineage: Bacteria
Description: partial 16S ribosomal RNA
Rfam family: Bacterial small subunit ribosomal RNA
Source: RNAcentral